CACCCCUCUCCACCACUGGAAAUCGCCUACGGCUGCGGAUCUUUCCCAAUUGACUUCAAAAUCUGACCACUUAAUCUCCAUGCCGUCCCCGUUCUUAAUUCCACAUUACUUUCCCCGAAAAUGUUCCUAAGCCCCUCGAAUUUCAGAUCUUAGACCUAAAGAAAGAAAUAACAAACAUAAUCUUUGGCUACCCCUUUUUUAAUCCCUCACCCACCUGAGCCAAUUCGAGUUAAACUUAUACCAAACGACUGUCUUCAAUAAAUACUUUUGUUGUUUCACCUCAUUUCACGGCGACUGGAUCUUGAUCAAACCUCCGCCAAGAGCUUUGAAUCAUCUGCUGCCAUAUUUCUCCUACCCCGGUAUGGUAAUUGAUAUCGUAACAUAUAGCACUAGCUAUGCCUAUAUGUGCGAGCCAGUGCUCAUGCUACGAUAUCGAUUAUCAUCCGGUGAUUUCCUAAUUUUGUUGGUUUCAAAGGUGAUACCAUUCUAUUCUUCAUGAUUAAACCUGUUAAUUCCUUUUGUGGUUUGUUAGUUCCCCUUGUUGAUUUAGUGGUAUGAGAGCUAUCUAUGUUUGUUUGUUCAAAUUGGUUUCAUGUGAGAUUGGUUACAUUUGCUUAGCUAGGUUAAUUGUUGUCUUUAAUUGCAUAUCUUAGAAUUUACUGAGUUCUCAUAUUUUGAUGGCCUUAGUCAUGGUUCAGGUGUUGCCCAUUACUCUUAAUUGUCUACUUUGUUUGUAAUAACCUUAUACUAUUUUUGAUUUUAACUUCAAGUGGGUUGGGUCGGUCUUGAUUGAUAAACAUGUUCAUAAAAGUGAAUCUGGGCUUCAGGGAAUGAAAGGCUAAAAAGGAACUGUGGUCCAUUAUCAACUAAGGUCCUGAUUGAUGAUAAUUACUAGAGGUAAUUACAGUUGUCUUAAGGGGUAUUAUAGGAAUUAGAAAAAACGAAUCUAUUCUCUAACCAUUUCAGAAGAUCCUAAAAGAUAGAUUAACGACCAAUUAGCAAUAAAAGUACAAAAUUAGGUCAAAAAGAGAUUAAAAAGGUUAAAAUACAAAGCUAAAGGCGGCUGGAAAGAAAGAGAGGUAACAAAAGGUUCUGCUUUACCAAAAAGCUGUUGUAGAAAGAUGUUUUUUCCUAUUUUUUAGGGCUGAUAUAUUCUCGAUAUUCUCUCAUUUUUAUUUUGUAUAAAAAGACACUCACACUCUCAUUCUAACACAUGCAAGAAAGAGAGCAAAUUGACCUUCUUUUUAUUUUUUUCUUGGCCUUCAUCUUUUGCAUUUUCAAUCAAAAAGAUCAGGCAUUCCCCUUUUGCAUUUGUUUUUUUUUUUUGCUUAAAAAGAAAGGACACUCAUCUUCACUGAUAUAGCUAUGAAGAUUUGGACAAGAAAAACUCAAAAACCAAAAAAAGAAGGGUUUCAAAACUCUA
Molecule: long non-coding RNA, 1423 nt
Filed under: Nicotiana tabacum (common tobacco)
Lineage: Eukaryota; Viridiplantae; Streptophyta; Magnoliopsida; Solanales; Solanaceae
Description: long non-coding RNA (NTAB_LNC014987)
Source: RNAcentral